This 951-nucleotide ribosomal RNA is filed under the name uncultured archaeon. Its description in RNAcentral is "bacterial SSU rRNA". It matches the Rfam family "Archaeal small subunit ribosomal RNA", at positions 1 to 936 of the family's 1478-position model. The record is from RNAcentral.
CCCUUGGUUGAUCCUGCCGGACCCCACUGCUAUCGAGAUGGGACUAAGGUAUGCUAGUCGAACGACCAGAACUAUGUCUGGGAGUGGCACACUGCUCAGUAACACGUAGCUAACCUACCCUUAGGACGUGGAUACCCCCGAGAAAUUGGGGUUAAUCCGCGAUAGAUGUAAUGUCCUGGAAUGGUAUUACGUCUAAAGGUAUUUCAUACAUGUUUGAAAUAUGCCUAAGGAUGGGGCUGCGGCCGAUCAGGCUGUUGGUGAGGUAAUGGCUCACCAAACCUUUGACCGGUACGGGCCAUGAGAGUGGUAGCCCGGAGAUGGACACUGAGACAAGGGUCCAGGCCCUAAGGGGCGCAGCAACCGCGAAACCUCCACAGUGCACUCACGUGCGAUGGGGCUAUCUCGAGUGCCACCUGAUGAAGGUGGCUUUUCCUUGGUCUUCAAAGCCUUGGGAAUAAGAGGGGGGCAAGACUGGUGUCAGCCGCCGCGGUAACACCAGCCCCUCGAGUGGUGGGGAUGAUUAUUUGGCCUAAAGCGUCCGUAGCCGGCCGUGAAAGUCUUCCGUUAAAUCCAGCGUCUCAAGCGUUGGACCGCGGGAGAUACUACAUGGCUAGAGAGUGGGAGAGGUCAGCGGUAUUCUGGGGGUAGGGGCGAAAUCCUUUGAUCCCCGGAGGACCACCAGUGGCGAAGGCUGCUGACUAGAACACGUCUGACGGUCAGGGACGAAAGCUGGGGUAGCGAACCGGAUUAGAUACCCGGGUAGUCCCAGCCGUAAACGAUGCAUGCUAGGUGUUGGGUUGGCCACGAGCCACCCCAGUGCCGCAGGGAAGCCGUUAAGCAUGCCGCCUGGGAAGUACGAUCGCAAGAUGAAACUUAAAGGAAUUGGCGGGGGAGCACCACCAGGCGUGAAGCCUGCGGUUUAAUUGGAUUCAACGCCGGGAAGGGCGAAUU